RNAcentral lists this ribosomal RNA (461 nucleotides) under uncultured bacterium. Its description in RNAcentral is "partial 16S ribosomal RNA". It matches the Rfam family "Bacterial small subunit ribosomal RNA", at positions 338 to 795 of the family's 1533-position model. The record is from RNAcentral.
CCUACGGGUGGCAGCAGUGAGGAAUAUUGGUCAAUGGGCGGAAGCCUGAACCAGCCAAGUCGCGUGAGGGAUUAAGGCCCUGCGGGUCGUAAACCUCUUUUGCCGGGGAGCAGAGGUCCGGACGUGUCCGGGCCGGGAGAGUACCCGGAGAAAAAGCAUCGGCUAACUCCGUGCCAGCAGCCGCGGUAAUACGGAGGAUGCGAGCGUUCUCCGGAUUUAUUGGGUUUAAAGGGAGCGUAGGUGGAUUGUUAAGUCAGUUGUGAAAGUUUACGGCUCAACCGUAAAAUUGCAGUUGAAACUGGCAGUCUUGAGUACAGUAGAGGUGGGCGGAAUUCGUGGUGUAGCGGUGAAAUGCUUAGAUAUCACGAAGAACUCCGAUUGCGAAGGCAGCUCACUGGACUGCAACUGACACUGAUGCUCGAAAGUGUGGGUAUCAAACAGGAUUAGAUACCCGUGUAGUC